RNAcentral lists this long non-coding RNA (285 nucleotides) under Parus major (Great Tit). RNAcentral's name for it is "lncRNA (ENSPMJG00000014522.1)". Lineage: Eukaryota; Metazoa; Chordata; Aves; Passeriformes; Paridae. The record is from RNAcentral.
AAUAUAACAGCCUUGAUAAGAAGAAAGGCCAACUGCAGCCUGGCGUGUCCAGCCCUCCUGCCCAUGUCAGCUGCAUACCAGACUUGAUCUACAAGUCUGCUAAACCACUAUGGAAAGUGUGAACAGAAGAAAGGGGUAAAGCAGGAUGGACUGACUCCCUUCAUCUUAGAAAACAUCAUUUGCUAAACAAGCUUUGACAGCCAUAAAAUCUUCUGAGAUGGAGAAGAGGGAAAACAUUUCAGAUGAUAAGUACUAUUACUUUAACAAGUAUAAAGAGGACAUACA